Molecule: ribosomal RNA, 440 nt
Filed under: uncultured bacterium
Lineage: Bacteria
Description: partial 16S ribosomal RNA
Rfam family: Bacterial small subunit ribosomal RNA
Source: RNAcentral
CCUACGGGAGGCUGCAGUAGGGAAUAUUGCUCAAUGGGGGAAACCCUGAAGCAGCAACGCCGCGUGGAGGAUGAAGGUUUUAGGAUUGUAAACUCCUUUUGUUAGAGAAGAUUAUGACGGUAUCUAACGAAUAAGCACCGGCUAACUCCGUGCCAGCAGCCGCGGUAAUACGGAGGGUGCAAGCGUUACUCGGAAUCACUGGGCGUAAAGAGUGCGUAGGCGGGGUAAUAAGUCAGAUGUGAAGUCCUGUGGCUUAACUACAGAACUGCAUUUGAAACUGUUACUCUGGAGUGUGGGAGAGGUAGGUGGAAUACUUGGUGUAGGGGUAAAAUCCGUAGAGAUCAAGAGGAAUACUCAUUGCGAAGGCGACCUGCUGGAACAUUACUGACGCUGAUGCACGAAAGCGUGGGGAGCAAACAGGAUUAGAUACCCCAGUAGUC